RNAcentral lists this ribosomal RNA (629 nucleotides) under Sporopachydermia cereana. RNAcentral describes it as "partial large subunit ribosomal RNA". It matches the Rfam family "Eukaryotic large subunit ribosomal RNA", at positions 1 to 640 of the family's 3401-position model. Lineage: Eukaryota; Fungi; Ascomycota; Sporopachydermiomycetes; Sporopachydermiales; Sporopachydermiaceae. The record is from RNAcentral.
AUCUUUGACCUCAAAUCAGGUAGGAAUACCCGCUGAACUUAAGCAUAUCAAUAAGCGGAGGAAAAGAAACCCACAGGGAUUGCCUUAGUAACGGCGAGUGAAGCGGCAAAAGCUCAAAUUUGAAAUCUGGGGUCUUCGACCUCCGAGUUGUAAUUUGAAGAAAGCAUCUUUGGAUUUAGCCUUUUUCUAAGUUCCUUGGAACAGGACUUCAUAGAGGGUGAGAAUCCCGUAUGAAGAAGUGUCUAUUUCUAUGUAAAGUGCUUUCGACGAGUCGAGUUGUUUGGGAAUGCAGCUCUAAGUGGGUGGUAAAUUCCAUCUAAAGCUAAAUAUUGGCGAGAGACCGAUAGCGAACAAGUACAGUGAUGGAAAGAUGAAAAGAACUUUGAAAAGAGAGUGAAAAAGUACGUGAAAUUGUUAAAAGGGAAGGGCUUCAGAUCAGACUUGAUGUUUAGUGAUCCAUCUUCCUUUUUGGUUGGUGCACGCGCUUUUCAUUGGGCCAACAUCGAUUUGAGUGGUAGGAUAAUGCCGUUGGAAUGUAGCUUCAUUCGUGAAGUGUUAUAGACUUCGGUGAUACUGCCCAUUCGGAUCGAGGACUGCGUCUUUUGACUAGGAUGUUGGCGUAAUGAUCU